UAUGUGAUCGUCUCUUGCAUAUCAAUAAGCGGAGGAAAAGAAACUAACAAGGAUUCCCCUAGUAACGGCGAGUGAAGCGGGAAGAGCUCAAAUUUGAAAUCUUAAAGGGUUUCCCUUUACGAAUUGUAGUUUAAAGAAGUGUUUUCUGUUGAGGUUUUGGUAAAAGUUCUUUGGAAUAGGACAUCAUAGAGGGUGAGAAUCCCGUAUUCGACCUUUACUUUCAACUUUGUGAUUACACUUUCAAAGAGUCGGAUUGUUUGGGAAUGCAGUCCAAAAUGGGUGGUAAAUUUCAUCUAAAGCUAAAUAUUGGCAAGAGACCGAUAGCGAACAAGUACCGUGAGGGAAGGAUGAAAAGAACUUUGAAAAGAGAGUUAAACAGUACGUGAAAUUGUCAAAAGGGAAGCGUUUGACACCAGUGUUGUUUUUCUGAAAAUCAAUUAAAGAACUGUUUAUGCUAAGUUGUUUAGACUUUAUCAGCUAACUGUUUAGUUUUGAGCUUUUCUUUAAUGCACUUUUCAGUUAACAAGUCAACAUCAAUUUCUUUUGCUGUAAAAAAGCUUGAGGAAGGUGGCUUGAGAUUCGUCUUAAGUGUUUAUAGCCUCUUGCCUAUGCAGUCGGAGAGAUUGAGGUCUGCAGCGUAGAUCCUUCGGGGCUAAAUGCAUUUGUGCUAAGUUAUAGCAUUUUAUAGACAACUUGUUGACUAUGAUUUGUCUUGUAGCUUACUCGCUUAUGUUAUUUUACCUACGCUUAGGAUGUUGACACACGCGCGUGCUCG
RNAcentral lists this ribosomal RNA (775 nucleotides) under uncultured Neocallimastigales. Its description in RNAcentral is "partial large subunit ribosomal RNA". It matches the Rfam family "Eukaryotic large subunit ribosomal RNA", at positions 23 to 643 of the family's 3401-position model. Lineage: Eukaryota; Fungi; Neocallimastigomycota; Neocallimastigomycetes; Neocallimastigales. The record is from RNAcentral.